Molecule: ribosomal RNA, 1799 nt
Filed under: Percolomonas sp. LO
Lineage: Eukaryota; Heterolobosea; Eutetramitea; Percolomonadida; Percolomonadidae
Description: partial small subunit ribosomal RNA
Rfam family: Eukaryotic small subunit ribosomal RNA
Source: RNAcentral
AACCUGGUUGAUCCUGCCAGUACCAUAGGCUAGUCUUGAAGACUAAGCCAUGCAUGUGUCAGUGCACAGCCUAGUUUACUAGGCAUUCGGAAACUGCGGAUGGCUCCAUAUACUAGUGAGAACCUGCCUGCCCAGUCAACUACAAGGAUAACCUUGCCAACAGCAAGGCUAAUACUUGAUAAACAGCUAGCUUCGGCUAGUAGCGCAAGGCUAAGCUUGACGGCUACCUUGCAUAGUAGGCUUCGGCUUACUGGUUGACCUGAAAGGAUUAAGAGCUGCUACUAGUAGUAGCUCGACCUAAGGCUGAGCAGAGAGCUCUCUAAGCCAUUAGCUGGUUGUGGGGGUAGCGGCUUCACAAGGCGACUAUGGCUACGGGGAAUCAGCGUUCGAUUCCGGAGAGAAAGCCUGAGACACGGCUAUCACAUCUAAGGAAGGCAGCAGGCGCGCAAAUUGCCCAAUGCAGAUUCUGCGAGGCAGUGAACAGCCAUACCGGCCUGCGCACCUAGUGCGCAGGGAGGCUUUAAGCCUUAGAAUGAAUGCUGCUUAACAAACAGCAUGAUAAGCUAGUAGAGGAUCAGUCUGGUGUUGUCUUUAAACGUCCGUAGCCAGCUAAAGCUGCUAAGCUACUAGUCUGCAGCACAGGCUAGCUUCAACUACCUUUCGCUAGGUAGUAGUUGCUAGACUGGCUGCCUUGGCGGAAGCCUUUAGCAUAAGCUGAAGGCUACUGUAGGCUGGUAGUUUAGUAGCGUAGCGACAUCGCUAGUAAACAGGCAUGCUCAAGGUAAGCUAAAGGGUUUUCCCUAUGGCUUGAACUAUAUAGAGCGACACGUCAGUCAAGCAGGCUACUUCGGUAGCCGGCGUGAACAAUGAGGGGGACUCAGGCCAGGAGUAUUGGCAGGCUAGGGGUGAAAUCCAGUGACCCUGCCAAGACUGCAUGAGGCGAAAGCGCCUGGCUAGAGCCUACUUGUCGGCGAUGGACGAGAGUGAAGGGCGCGAAGAUGAUUAGAUACCGUUGUAGUCUUCACUGUAAACUAUGCCAGCUUGGCUGGGCAGCUUCACCUAGUUGAAGGCUGCCUGGCCAAAGGGAAACUAGUAAGCUCUUCGGCUAGAGGGGUAGUACUGUCGCAAGGCAGAAACUUAAAGGAAUUGACGGAAAAGCACCACCAGGCGUGGAGUCUGCGGCUUAAUUCGACUCAACACGGGAAACCUUACCAGGGCAGGACACUAAGUGGAUUGUCAGCCUACAGGGCUUACAUGAUAUUGUGGAAAGUGGUGCAUGGCCAUUCUUAGUUCGUGAGGCGACUUGUCUCCUUAAUUGAGGUAACGAGCGAGACCCUGAAGGUUAGUUGAGCUUGGCUAGUUUACUAGUCAAUGUGCUGCUUCGCAGCCGCUCCUAACCUGAUUACUGGCGCCUAGCCAGUCGAGACAGGACAAUAAUAGGUCUGUUAUGCCCUUAGAUGGCCUGGGACGCACGCGUACUACACUGACGCUCGCAGCCAGUAGAGUAGCGGCUAGUUUACUAGCCGCUAAGCUAUGCUGGAAAGCAUUGCGAAGCUGCAAAGGGCGUCUCGGUAAGGAUUGCUGCCUGCAAGGGCAGCAUAAAUGAGGAAUGCCUUGUAAGCGCCCUUCAGCAUAGGGCACUGAAUACGUCCCUGCUUUUUGUACACACCGCCCGUCGCAUCAAGGAACUCAACUGAGGCAAUGAGCCUGCCGGACGCAAGGAAGGCAGGCGAAUAGCCUUAGUCUUACCAUGAUGAAGUCGUAACAAGGUAUCCGUAGGUGAACCUGCAGAAGGAUCA